UACAGAGGUCUCAACCGUUGUUCGGAUUCAUUGGGCGUAAAGGGUGCGUAGGCGGUCGCGUAAGUCAGGUGUGAAAUCUCAGGGCUCAACCCUGAAACUGCACUUGAUACUGCGUGGCUCGGGUACUGGAGAGGAGACUGGAAUUUACGGUGUAGCAGUGAAAUGCGUAGAUAUCGUAAGGAAGACCAGUGGCGAAGGCGAAUCUCUGGACAGUUACUGACACUGAGGCACGAAGGCCAGGGGAGCAAACGGG
RNAcentral lists this ribosomal RNA (253 nucleotides) under uncultured bacterium. Its description in RNAcentral is "partial 16S ribosomal RNA". It matches the Rfam family "Bacterial small subunit ribosomal RNA", at positions 524 to 776 of the family's 1533-position model. The record is from RNAcentral.